Molecule: ribosomal RNA, 383 nt
Filed under: uncultured bacterium
Lineage: Bacteria
Description: bacterial SSU rRNA
Rfam family: Bacterial small subunit ribosomal RNA
Source: RNAcentral
UGAGGAAUAUUGGUCAAUGGGCGGAAGCCUGAACCAGCCAUGCCGCGUGAAGGAAUAAGGCCCUAUGGGUCGUAAACUUCUUUUGACGGGGAGCAAUAAGGUCUACGUGUAGACCGAUGAGAGUACUCGUUGAAUAAGCAUCGGCUAACUCCGUGCCAGCAGCCGCGGUAAUACGGAGGAUGCAAGCGUUAUCCGGAUUCAUUGGGUUUAAAGGGUGCGUAGGCGGCUUGGUAAGUCAGCGGUGAAAUUCCAGUGCUCAACAUUGGCCGUGCCGUUGAUACUGCUGGGCUUGAAUGCGGAUGCCGUGGGAGGAAUGUGUGGUGUAGCGGUGAAAUGCAUAGAUAUCACACAGAACACCGAUUAGCGAAGGCAUCUCACGAAUC